This 1128-nucleotide long non-coding RNA is filed under the name Daphnia pulex (common water flea). Its description in RNAcentral is "uncharacterized LOC124201032, transcript variant X1". Lineage: Eukaryota; Metazoa; Arthropoda; Branchiopoda; Diplostraca; Daphniidae. The record is from RNAcentral.
AGUUACCGCGCCGAUUUACACACAAAAGAUCAGUAAGCACAGUUGCCAGUUGCCAAAAAGUGAAGUGAUCGCUCAAAUUGGUCGGUCUUUCUUAAUGAAUAUGGCAACGUUUUCCGCAGUCCAGUUCCAGAUAUUAGGUUAACCGUCAAGUUAGCCUUGAGAAAGUCUAUAAAUAGUCUCGUCACUUGAUAUUCAAGCAUGGUCAAAAUUUUGAACAAGAGUUUGAGCUGCAUGUGCCGAAGAAGCAAUUGGAAAAUGGUGUGAGAUUUCGAAUAUGUAAUUUGCAGGGAAAUUAUUUUCAAGAUGGUAUGAUCUUUGUGCAGCAGAAAAUCUGAAGCAACUUCAUCUGUGAAUGUGAGGUUAGAUAAUCUAGCUACAGGUUUAUCUGGAUGCUAGUCUUUGAGAGGUCAGCUGGCUGCCUUCGUUGGGAAUUCUUUGGGUCUUCCGAUAGAACCAAGCUAAAGGUGUAGUUGUAUGGUUGUGGCAAUAAGCUUCUGGUCUCUGAGGAUGCCUGGAUGCAAGUCUGCAGUUGAGAUCAAUGCUGUACGUACCAGCUGGUGACUUUAUUCAAUGAGAUGAUUUAUUCUCAAAUAAAAAUGGCACCUUCGUUUCCCUACCGACUGCUAGUUUCAAGGGUUUCACCUAAUGAUACUUUCAACAUAUUUAAUGGAAUUCUUUGUUGAGGGAUUGAUGGAUUUCAUUGUUUGAAAUGGUAUGGUUGGGUGACUUACUGCAAGUUUCUUAAUAUAACUGACACUGGCUGCCUUUUUGGUGUUAAGGAAGUAACGACUUGAGGUAGUCUUGGGAAUCAUACCUCAGUGCCUGAGGAAGCCUGGAUCGUCUGCUCUUGAAGGUGAUUUAUUUUCGGGCUUGAGCUGAUGCACAUGGUGUCUUGUUUCCAUAUCGACUGCUUGCUUCAAGUGCGUUCGUCGCUUCAAGGCUUCUGGCUCCGUCGUGUCGGUUUUUUCACUUGCGUCGCUAGGGUUAACAAGGAACUGAAGCUGUCGGUCAACAGCAGGAUCGAUGCGUGUGGCCUGGUUCGCUAGGUAUUUGGAAAAUGGCCGUAGGUUCCAAUCGUGAUGUAGUAUUCGUAAUGUGUAUGGACUCGUUUGAAUAAACCUGUUUUGC